CGUUAAACACGCUGCUACGGGCUGAUCCUAGAACAGCGAUUUCAAGCGCUUUAGUCCACAGCUCGAACUACGACAGGUCUUCGACACUUCCGGUAUUUUUACGGCAGCCUGCUGGUUUCCUUCCUUCGACAAGCAGAGGUGUCAGCUGGCUGAGAGGUGACAUGUACACACAGCAAAUAAAACAGACAAGCGACCGUCGAAAUAAACUCUAGCAGGAACACGCGGUUACGCGACAAAAACAUUGUUUCGAGGCAAC
Sinocyclocheilus rhinocerous is the source of this 256-nucleotide long non-coding RNA. RefSeq lists it as uncharacterized. The transcript has 3 exons. The record is from RefSeq and is a predicted model, not a curated record. Lineage: Eukaryota; Metazoa; Chordata; Actinopteri; Cypriniformes; Cyprinidae.